CCUACGGGAGGCAGCAGUGGGGAAUAUUGCACAAUGGGGGAAACCCUGAUGCAGCAACGCCGCGUGAAGGAAGACGGUUUUCGGAUUGUAAACCUCUUUUGUCAGGGAACAAAGGCGGGGACUAGUCCCCGGAUGAGGGUACCUGAAGAAAAAGGCUCGGCUAACUCCGUGCCAGCAGCCGCGGUAAUACGGAGGAUGCGAGCGUUAUCCGGAUUUUUUGGGUUUAAAGGGUGCGCAGGCGGCCUUUUAAGUCAGCGGUAAAAGCCCGGGGCUCAACCCCGGCGAGCCGUUGAAACUGGCGGGCUGGAGUUGGAGAGAGGUACGCGGAAUGCGCGGUGUAGCGGUGAAAUGCUUAGAUAUCGCGCAGAACCCCGAUUGCGAAGGCAGCGUACCGGCUCCACACUGACGCUGAGGCACGAAAGCGUGGGUAUCGAACAGGAUUAGAUACCCCUGUAGUC
This 458-nucleotide ribosomal RNA is filed under the name uncultured bacterium. RNAcentral describes it as "partial 16S ribosomal RNA". It matches the Rfam family "Bacterial small subunit ribosomal RNA", at positions 338 to 795 of the family's 1533-position model. The record is from RNAcentral.